CCUACGGGAGGCAGCAGUGAGGAAUAUUGGUCAAUGGACGCAAGUCUGAACCAGCCAUGCCGCGUGCAGGAAGACGGCUCUAUGAGUUGUAAACUGCUUUUGUACGGGGGUAAACGCAGAUACGUGUAUCUGUCUGAAAGUAUCGUACGAAUAAGGAUCGGCUAACUCCGUGCCAGCAGCCGCGGUAAUACGGAGGAUUCAAGCGUUAUCCGGAGUUAUUGGGUUUAAAGGGUGCGUAGGCGGGCCUUCAGGCCGGCGGUAAAAUUGCGGGGCUCAACCCAGCCGAGCCGUCGAAACCGGGGACCUUGAGUACCGGAGAAGUAAGCGGAAGGAGUGGUGUAGCGGUGAAAUGCAUAGAUAUCACGCAGAACCCCGAUUGCGAAGGCAGCGUACCGGCCGGUCACUGACGCUGAGGCACGAAAGCGCGGGUAUCGAACAGGAUUAGAUACCCCGGUAGUC
Molecule: ribosomal RNA, 459 nt
Filed under: uncultured bacterium
Lineage: Bacteria
Description: partial 16S ribosomal RNA
Rfam family: Bacterial small subunit ribosomal RNA
Source: RNAcentral